CCUCAUCACACCAGGUUUAGCCCUACCGGCCUUCUGAGUGGCCAGUGCUGGUCCAGAUCCUACACCAGGGCUACCCCUGGGGGCCUGCUGGCACUGCCCUGAUUCCAGCAGCCCAUGUCCCCUCUCAGGGAUGAGGAGUGACACUGCAUCUGGCUGGUGGGCUGGAAGGCUGGAGAUAAGCCUGGCACAGGGUCGGUGGUGAGGCGCUGGGGCCAGUGGCUGUGGCAGGGCUGGUUCCACGGGGAUUGAUGGUGAGUGCCAGGGGACAAAUGUCUGGGGAUGCCCCAGGCCUGGUCGGGGUUGGAUUGUGGGGGGUCUCCGCUGCCAAGAGGGGUGGACAUGAGGUCUUCACUUCGAGUGUGUCUUGAGGCUCAAAGCCAGGGACGGUGCGUAGACUUUGCCCAGCCCCACGAGCGAAGGUCACAUGAGAUUCAGUAUUUGGAUCCCUUUGCAACAGUCUGGUGAGUGUGAAACUGAAUAGUUUAUUUCUUUGUUUUUCAGCAAACAACAUCACAUAAUUGUUUAUUAUUUAGGCAUCUUGUUCUACCCAAGACACACAUCCCACUGCAAGUUCAAGCCUCAGAAACCUUACCAUCUAUCACAGAUUUUGUAUUUUGCUAGUGGAUAUCUGCUGAGAGGUGCUAAGGCCUGCAAGCGGGGGUGCCUUUGAUCCAAAGCCAAUCACAGACAUCAUUAAAGACUAUGUCUACGCUGCACAGUUAACCCAGGAGAUUUGCUGAGAACCCAGUUUCACCCUGCCUGGGUGUAAACAUCCCCACUGCAAAGCCAUUCCUGCAUUACUGUGUCCUUGGAACCAUUAGGAAUGGGACAGAUAAUAAACCAGAAAAUAUCAUAAUACCACUAUAUAAAUUCAUGAUUCCCACUGAAGUCAAUGAGAGUCUUAGGUGUAGCAGGAAAGUCGGAUUGGACACUAUAUGGUGAACCAACUAUCCCUCAAGUCCACCCAUCCCGCUAAACAACACAAACAAAUCACUGAACCGGGAAAUCCCAGCGAAUAAUGUAGGUCCCUUCAGUGCUCUGCAUUAUAGUCCGUGAUCUGAAACCGUCCCAUCCUGCUACACCAGCUUCAAACUCAC
Mauremys reevesii (Reeves's turtle) is the source of this 1097-nucleotide long non-coding RNA. RefSeq lists it as uncharacterized. The transcript is spliced from 4 exons. NCBI's taxonomy places the organism in Eukaryota, Metazoa, Chordata, Testudines, Geoemydidae. The record is from RefSeq and is a predicted model, not a curated record.